This is a long non-coding RNA of Oreochromis niloticus (Nile tilapia), 521 nucleotides long. RefSeq lists it as uncharacterized. The record is from RefSeq and is a predicted model, not a curated record. Lineage: Eukaryota; Metazoa; Chordata; Actinopteri; Cichliformes; Cichlidae. The transcript is spliced from 3 exons.
GAGUUCGGGUCUUAGGAGGUUAAUAUUAAAAUUACAUUGUGGCUGAAAGGUAGUUUUUAGUUGUUAUUACUUCCAUUUUUCUUAGUAUCACAGGUAACUUUUUAAAUGAAUAAUAUAUGUUUUUCCCAAGCCCCAAUUCACCAUGCAGGACAAAGGUAAGUCUGUACUUAAUGUCAACACAAAUAAGUAGAAAAGGUUUAAAAAUGAUGCAGUGAACUGACUGUAGUCUCUUGUUUUUACAUAAGGUAUAGCCUGUGGCUGAGGGAUCAGAGGUGGUUUACACUUUUUCUCUCCCAGAAUUCAGCACUUCAGACACUCAACGUCCAAGAUGGAGCUAACACCCCACCCAGAAGACAGCCUUACCCCGACCAACCCAAUGAGAAGGAUGGAUGACCAAGUGAAAAACUGGAGAGUGGUGCUGUGUUCCAACUAUGGAAGCUGAGAGUAGACAGAGCUGCACAGAGGACCAAAGAUCCACUCUCAGCACUUCAUACCUGACUGGCCACAGCACCACCCCUCCU